GGGAGUUUGUCGGAGCGGUUUAACGAGCCACUCUGGAAAGGUGAGCCUGCGAUUUGCAGACGGAGGUUCGAAUCCUCCAGCUCUCG
Mycoplasmataceae bacterium RC_NB112A is the source of this 86-nucleotide non-coding RNA. The record is from Rfam. Lineage: Bacteria; Bacillati; Mycoplasmatota; Mollicutes; Mycoplasmatales; Mycoplasmataceae.